AAAAGUUGGUAGGCGGAACCUAACGCCUGAUUGGUUACCCUCUGCAUCAAGCCAAGACAAAUCAAUUCCGGAUAAUGGAUUGAUGCAGAGCUACUGAACACAUUCCAAUACACUGGGUGGCGCUAUUCACCUCUACGUUGGUUUAGUUACACGGUUAAACAGAACUUUCAUUGCAACGGCUAAAAAUCAAGAGAAGACUCGGUCCUGCUAGCCCCAAUGUUGAGACGCUGUGUGAGGUGCAGGACAAAAUGUCUAAAAGUUGCCCGGAGCUGCUGAGAGAAGCAGCGAAUUUGAUUGAGGAAGCUCUGAGCAGAAGUCCAACGGCUCCCGCGGCACCGGUGACUCCGGCAGCUCAGUCACAGCAGAUACCGGCCGCUCAAUCACGUACACCUGUCCAAGCGGAGGUAGCAAGGCUCUUUGCGCCAUAUAACAUUGGAGCCAGAAGGAAUAUGACGAGACGACCAGCACAAGUCCAAGUUAGCCGAAGAAGCUACACACACACUGUCUGUUGUUUGGCUGACCACAAUGCGGAUAAAAUUCCAAGCGUACUGUUUAAAGCUGAACUUCUUACUUCAGGACUUGGAGAGCAAAAAGUAACAUUUUCAGGGAAUGACCACGAUCCCAUGGUUAUGUUUUGUGUCAGGAGGAAUGGGCCGAACACUGCUAUUUGAGGGUGAACCUGACCAUCUUGUUCCAGCAGCAUCAGAGGCACUUAUUGAAAGCAACCUCUUCCGGGUUGCAGGAAGGAUGUUGGGCCACACCUUUCUGCAUGAUGGUCCCCAUGUCACAGGACUAAGUCCUGCUGUAAUUCAUGUACUGUUCAAUGGGGACCCUGAAAUGGCUACUGUUGUUACAGAAGACUGUCCUGAUCUGCACAUCAGGAGCAUCAUAGAACUGCUUGAACAUGAAGAUCUUACACCGGAACAGAAGGACACAGUUUCAGAUCUUUCCAUGUCUUGGGAUCUUCCGGCAGUCACCAAAACAAAUCGGAGAUGGCUACAUAACAAACUUCUACUCCAUGCAGUGAGUUCCUGCUGGUUAAGUGACAGAAUUCAUCGCUGUACUUGUUGAAAUUAUAGAAUGUGUUGUGAACCCUGGCUUGUUAUGUUAACACGAGAGUUUAAGUACUAGAGUUUUAAUGGAUUUUUAUAAAGCACUUUAUUGUGUUUAUUAACAUUUUUCCUACUGUGCCAACUUUUGUCAAAUUUGGGUUAAGGAUUUGGAUCAAAAAUGUGAUAUUUGAUUUUCUCCAUAUUGCCCAGCCCUAAUGUCAAUGCAUACACAGUUCAGAUGAAUUGA
Coregonus clupeaformis (lake whitefish) is the source of this 1299-nucleotide long non-coding RNA. RefSeq lists it as uncharacterized. The transcript has 5 exons. Lineage: Eukaryota; Metazoa; Chordata; Actinopteri; Salmoniformes; Salmonidae. The record is from RefSeq and is a predicted model, not a curated record.